UCCAGUUACAUUUCCGCAUAUUUGCACCAAACAAAACUAACCACAACUAGGAAACUUUAAGGAAGCGGGAAAAAAAAUUGGCAUCGAUCCCCUGGGCUGUUACUAUAACCUUAUCUUUUUCUGCACAGUUUCCUUGUGCUGCGCACCGGGAUGUGGAGAGGGGCCCAGCGGGGCCCGCCUCCUCUGGUCCGACCAGGUGCGCAGCCCUUCACUCCCGCAGAUCGCUGGAUUCUCCAGCCUGGUGCACAGCGAGAGCAGCGAGGCAUGGCGAGAUCCAAGGCCAGGGUGUACACUUGUUGCGCGCUGCUUGUUGUUGUUAUGAUCGCCAUCAUCGUGAUCAUAACUGUCACUACGAGACGCAGGUGCGCGGACGACACUUUCUCGAAAGCUGCCGUAGCCGCAGACGCGAGGAAAUGCUCAGAGAUUGGAAGGGACAUGCUUCGACGAGGCGGCUCGGCGGUAGAUGGCGCCAUCGCCGCGCUUCUGUGCACCGGCAUCAUGAACCCGCAGAGCGCGGGGAUCGGAGGGGGGGCCAUUUUCACCGUGAUGGACAGAUCUGGUCAAGUGAAGAUCAUCAACUCCAGGGAGACGGCGCCGUCAAAGGUGGACCCUGAUCUGCUGAAGUCCUGCCCAUUAAACCGGUCAGGAAGCAAAUGGAUUGGUGUGCCGGGGGAAAUUCGAGGCUACGAACUGGCGCACAAACUUUAUGGAAAACUGCCGUGGGCCACGCUCUUCCAGCCGACCAUCAAGCUGGCCAGAGAGGGAUUCCCUAUUCCUCCGGUCCAAGGAUUGUUCAUCCCACUCAUUAACAAUUCGCUGACCCCAAGGAAACUAUAUUCAGACAAAACUGGAACCCUGCUGAAGACCGGAGACGAGAUCAAGUUUGAGAAACUGGCCGACACUUUGGAGCUGAUUGCAAACAAAGGAGCGGACGUCUUCUACACCGGAAGGGUAGCGGAGGAUUUAGUCCGUGACGUGCAGCAGGAAGGAGGAAACCUGACGCUGGAGGAUUUGGCAUCAUAUAAGGCCACAGUGACCGAGGCGUGGGUUGCCCCAGUGGGAGAGUACCAGAUGUACAUACCCCCGCCCCCGUCAGGAGGACCGCUCCUCAGCCUCGUCCUCAACAUCAUGAAAGAGUAUCAGGUGAGGUCGGCCCCUCUUUCUGUUGAGGAAAAGAUUCGGUUUUAUCACCGCUAUGUUGAAGCUUUUAAAUUUGCCAACGGACUAAAGAGGCACAUUCGGGACCCACACUUCAAAUCAGACAAAAUGGCAAAGGAAAUAAUAGCAGAAAGUUUUGCCAAACACAUAGGGACCCUGAUCAGCAGCGACAGGACACACGACAACCAGUAUUACAAUCUCACCACGUAUCUGGACAGUCUGGGCACCACGCACGUGUCCGUUCUGGCCGAAGACGGGUCAGCCGUCGCCGUCACCAGCACCAUCAACUACAUGUUUGGCUCCAAGGUCUACUCUCCCAGCACUGGGAUAUUCCUGAACAACCAGCUGUCGGACUUUUGUGGAAGGGUCGAUAACAUCUUUCCCGGGGAGCAGCCCCCCUCCUCCAUGACCCCCGUUGUGCUGAAGUCAAAGUGGAAGACGCUGGCGAUUGGAGCGAGUGGUGGGAGCAUGAUCACGACGGGGCUGGCCUCGUCGGUGUGUUUUCUUUCUCUUCCAGGCUCUCAUCAACCAUCUUUGGUUUGGGAAGAGCCUUAAAGAGGCCAUUGAUACUCCGGUUGUCUAUGUUGACUCUGAAAACAAAGUGAAGUUCGAACCCAAGUUUGACGAGGGUGUCAUCAAGGCUCUCAGAGCGUUGGGGCACAAAAACGAAACGGCAAGGAAAUUCUACAAUGUGGUUAACGCUGUGGAGAAAAAGGACGGCUGCAUCUGUGCUGUGUCUGACGACAGGAAACUGGGUGAAGCAGCUGGUUACUGACCCCACCAGUCAGUAACGCUGGUAACGGAGGAUGUCCUGAAAAUGAGCGAGAUCUUCCUGCAGCAGAAAGUGUCUGUUGUUCUUGAACAUCACUGAAAGAGAAGCGGAGAAACGGGUUUAAUUUGCAGAGCUUCUGCAGAAACACGCCUUCCUGACAGACUGUAUUCCAUGUAGUUACAAGGAAAAGAAAGAAAAAGAAAAAAAAGAGACUUUUCUUUUAGCACUGCAAGUUCGUGCGUGUUUUUCUAAGUGCAAGUCUGGAAUGCUUCUUGUUUCCCUUUACAUUUCAUUGAAACAUUUUCUGAUUUUCACUGGCAACCCUGAUGGGCCUGUGGUCUCUGUCGGCGACACUGGAGGACCGCUGACCGCCGUUGUUCGAUGUUGACAUAUUGCUCUUCAUCUCAUUUCUGUUAAUAGCUCUGGGGAAAAAGUCACAGUGAUAAUGACCGCUGGCCACACAACCCAGGCCACAUUUGUAGAAUGAUACCAAAGAUACCAAAGAUGUAUUUUUUAAAAACAGUCUUGUAUAUACAUGCAUUGACAAACACUGUAUUUUCAGAGCAAUAGCUGUCCGAAUGUAUUUGUACUUGAUCAGCAGGUCUUUGAGUAAAUCCUAAAAUUUAAUGUGCAAAAUAAAAAUCUAAAAAUCUG
Xiphophorus hellerii (green swordtail) is the source of this 2584-nucleotide RNA transcript. It is a transcript of the gene named glutathione hydrolase 5 proenzyme-like, with no coding region annotated. The transcript has 12 exons. The record is from RefSeq and is a predicted model, not a curated record. NCBI's taxonomy places the organism in Eukaryota, Metazoa, Chordata, Actinopteri, Cyprinodontiformes, Poeciliidae.